GUGCUCGCUUGGGCAGCACAUAUACUAAAAUUGGAACGAUACAGAGAAGAUUAGCAUGGCCCCUGCGCAAAGUGUGAUUGUAUUCCUGUAUUCAGUGUGUGAAUGUGU
Molecule: small nuclear RNA, 108 nt
Filed under: Microtus ochrogaster (prairie vole)
Lineage: Eukaryota; Metazoa; Chordata; Mammalia; Rodentia; Cricetidae
Source: RNAcentral